UCAAACUUGGUCAUUUAGAGGAAGUAAAAGUCGUAACAAGGUCUCCGUUGGUGAACCAGCGGAGGGAUCAUUACUGAGUUACCGCUCCAUAACCCUUUGUGAACAUACCUAUAACCGUUGCUUCGGCGGGCGGCGCGGCCACUGCGGCCCGCCCCCCCGGCCCCGCUCCGCGGGGUGCCCGCCGGAGGAUAACCAAACUCUGAUUUAACGACGUUUCUUCUGAGUGGCACAGGCAAAUAAUCAAAACUUUUAACAACGGAUCUCUUGGUUCUGGCAUCGAUGAAGAACGCAGC
Molecule: unclassified non-coding RNA, 293 nt
Filed under: uncultured fungus
Lineage: Eukaryota; Fungi
Description: partial contains small subunit ribosomal RNA, internal transcribed spacer 1, and 5.8S ribosomal RNA
Rfam family: Eukaryotic small subunit ribosomal RNA (bases 1-73)
Source: RNAcentral